GUCGAAAUAGUUUAAAGGUAAAACAUAUACCUUGUAAGUAUAGGUUGUGGGUUCAAUUCCUACUUUCGACA
RNAcentral lists this transfer RNA (71 nucleotides) under Serendipita indica DSM 11827. RNAcentral's name for it is "Piriformospora indica DSM 11827 tRNA". It matches the Rfam family "tRNA". Rfam says of the family: Transfer RNA (tRNA) molecules are approximately 80 nucleotides in length. Their secondary structure includes four short double-helical elements and three loops (D, anti-codon, and T loops). The record is from Rfam by way of RNAcentral. Lineage: Eukaryota; Fungi; Basidiomycota; Agaricomycetes; Sebacinales; Serendipitaceae.